GGGAGGACUUCUUCUGGGCCUUCACACCUGUUGCGGCGAUUUCAUACGGAUACGAUUCUUCACACCUGUCCGCAUAGAGAGGUUUUUCUUUCGAAGCGCAAACAUCGAACAUCCAGGAGACAAAGUCUUCAACACAUCGGUGGAGGUCCUGCCGUUCGACAAUAUUCAGGCAGACAAAGAGGCUUGACAGGCAGGAGGAGAACGCCAAAG
Hippoglossus stenolepis (Pacific halibut) is the source of this 210-nucleotide long non-coding RNA. RefSeq lists it as uncharacterized. The transcript has 3 exons. The record is from RefSeq and is a predicted model, not a curated record. NCBI's taxonomy places the organism in Eukaryota, Metazoa, Chordata, Actinopteri, Pleuronectiformes, Pleuronectidae.